UACAGAGGUCUCAAGCGUUGUUCGGAUUCAUUGGCGUAAAGGGUGCGUAGGCGGCGCGGUAAGUCGGGUGUGAAAUCUCGGAGCUUAACUCCGAAACUGCAUUCGAUACUGCCUGCUUGAGGACUGGAGAGGAGACUGGAAUUUACGGUGUAGCGGUGAAAUGCGUAGAUAUCGUAAGGAAGACCAGUGGCGAAGGCGGGUCUCUGGACAGUUCCUGACGCUGAGGCACGAAGGUCAGGGGAGCAAACGGG
RNAcentral lists this ribosomal RNA (251 nucleotides) under uncultured bacterium. Its description in RNAcentral is "partial 16S ribosomal RNA". It matches the Rfam family "Bacterial small subunit ribosomal RNA", at positions 524 to 776 of the family's 1533-position model. The record is from RNAcentral.